Molecule: ribosomal RNA, 267 nt
Filed under: Triticum aestivum (bread wheat)
Lineage: Eukaryota; Viridiplantae; Streptophyta; Magnoliopsida; Poales; Poaceae
Description: partial small subunit ribosomal RNA
Source: RNAcentral
GCACCCCUGAUCUUUGAGAAUCAGAAGGAUCCUUAUCGAGUUUCCAUUUCUUCAUUUGGAAUCUGGGCUCUUCUAUCUUCGAAUUAUUUUUUUGGCUUUAUUCUUUAUUUAUUUCAUUUCGAUUUUCUCUUCCUCUAUCCCUAUCCUAUAGGUACAACGUUUGCAUCAAUAGAGAACCUUUUCCUCUGUAUGAAUCUAUAUCAUUCCAAUUUCUUCCGGAAACUUCCCUAGAAAAAUCCCGAAUUGGAUCCAAAAUUGACGGGUUAA